GGGGCUGUGACUCAGUGGAAGGGUCUCUGCUUUGGAUGCAGAAGGUUCCAGGUUCAAUCCCAGCCUUCUCCA
RNAcentral lists this transfer RNA (72 nucleotides) under Sphaerodactylus townsendi. RNAcentral's name for it is "tRNA-Pro". It matches the Rfam family "tRNA". From Rfam's summary of the family: Transfer RNA (tRNA) molecules are approximately 80 nucleotides in length. Their secondary structure includes four short double-helical elements and three loops (D, anti-codon, and T loops). Further hydrogen bonds mediate the characteristic L-shaped molecular structure. tRNAs have two regions of fundamental functional importance: the anti-codon, which is responsible for specific mRNA codon recognition, and the 3' end, to which the tRNAs corresponding amino acid is attached (by aminoacyl-tRNA synthetases). tRNAs cope with the degeneracy of the genetic code in two manners: having more than one tRNA (with a specific anti-codon) for a particular amino acid; and 'wobble' base-pairing, i.e. permitting non-standard base-pairing at the 3rd anti-codon position. The record is from RNAcentral. Lineage: Eukaryota; Metazoa; Chordata; Lepidosauria; Squamata; Sphaerodactylidae.